RNAcentral lists this unclassified non-coding RNA (487 nucleotides) under Hevea brasiliensis (rubber tree). The record is from RNAcentral. Lineage: Eukaryota; Viridiplantae; Streptophyta; Magnoliopsida; Malpighiales; Euphorbiaceae.
AGAAAUCAAAGCAUCAAGAUCUUCACCUGAAAGCUGAUACUUAAAAGAAAUAUCAGUAUCUCCGCAAACGGCAGCAAGCUUACUGAUCAUGACGGAGAACUUAAUAUUCCGAUCAACGGCAAGAAUUUUGGUCUCCCCACCAAUGUAAGAAAGCUGGUUAUCAUGAGGGCGAGGAUGGAUCUUGCCGCCAUAGCUGCACAUAAACUUAGCUUUAUAAUCCUGAGGCUGCUGCUGCUGGGAUUGGUCCUCCCAUGGCGUGGGAUUCUCGAACUCAAUUUCGCGGGAUCGAGGAGAGGAGUGGCCGGAAUCUGGGUAUGAAUUAUAAGAAUAGUUCUCCAUGUUUGUGGGUUUUGCAAAGGGAGUGGAAAUGGAAAGAGAGCAGAGAGGGUUUUGAGAGGCGGGUGGUGGAGGGUGGAAGGGUAAUUAAAAGUCCAUGAGCAAGAGCAAGAGCAAGAGCAAGAGUGGGAAGCGAAAUAGAGGGGUGAAG